UACGGGAGGCAGCAGUGGGGAAUAUUGCACAAUGGGCGAAAGCCUGAUGCAGCGACGCCGCGUGGGGGAUGACGGCCUUCGGGUUGUAAACCUCUUUCAGCAGGGAAGAAGCGAAAGUGACGGUACUUGCAGAAGAAGCGCCGGCUAACUACGUGCCAGCAGCCGCGGUAAUACGUAGGGCGCAAGCGUUGUCCGGAAUUAUUGGGCGUAAAGGGCUUGUAGGUGGCUUGUCGCGUCUGCCGUGAAAACUCGAGGCUUAACCUUGGGCGUGCGGUGGGUACGGGCAGGCUAGAGUGCGGUAGGGGAGACUGGAAUUCCUGGUGUAGCGGUGAAAUGCGCAGAUAUCAGGAGGAACACCGAUGGCGAAGGCAGGUCUCUGGGCCGUUACUGACACUGAGAAGCGAAAGCAUGGGGAGCGAACAGGGAUUAGAUACCCGU
RNAcentral lists this ribosomal RNA (438 nucleotides) under uncultured bacterium. RNAcentral describes it as "bacterial SSU rRNA". It matches the Rfam family "Bacterial small subunit ribosomal RNA", at positions 340 to 789 of the family's 1533-position model. The record is from RNAcentral.